GCACCCGUAGCUCAACUGGAUAGAGCACCGGUCUUCGGAACCGGGGGUUGGGGGUUCGAAUCCCUCCGGG
This 70-nucleotide transfer RNA is filed under the name Planctomycetaceae bacterium. RNAcentral's name for it is "tRNA-Arg". It matches the Rfam family "tRNA". From Rfam's summary of the family: Transfer RNA (tRNA) molecules are approximately 80 nucleotides in length. Their secondary structure includes four short double-helical elements and three loops (D, anti-codon, and T loops). The record is from RNAcentral. Lineage: Bacteria; Pseudomonadati; Planctomycetota; Planctomycetia; Planctomycetales; Planctomycetaceae.